RNAcentral lists this small nuclear RNA (104 nucleotides) under Ictidomys tridecemlineatus (thirteen-lined ground squirrel). Lineage: Eukaryota; Metazoa; Chordata; Mammalia; Rodentia; Sciuridae. The record is from RNAcentral.
GUGUUCAUUUUUGCAGCAUAUAUCCUAAUUCUGGAAAUAUACAAAGAUUAGCAUAGGAUUUGAGCAAAGGUGACAUGAAAAUUUAUGAAGCACUCCACACUGAA